UACGAAGGGGGCUAGCGUUGCUCGGAAUGACUGGGCGUAAAGGGCGCGUAGGCGGUUUAUGCAGUCAGAUGUGAAAUCCCCGGGCUUAACCUGGGAACUGCAUUUGAGACGCAUAGACUAGAGGUCGAGAGAGGGUUGUGGAAUUCCCAGUGUAGAGGUGAAAUUCGUAGAUAUUGGGAAGAACACCGGUGGCGAAGGCGGCAACCUGGCUCGAUACUGACGCUGAGGCGCGAAAGCGUGGGGAGCAAAC
This 250-nucleotide ribosomal RNA is filed under the name uncultured bacterium. RNAcentral's name for it is "partial 16S ribosomal RNA". It matches the Rfam family "Bacterial small subunit ribosomal RNA", at positions 524 to 773 of the family's 1533-position model. The record is from RNAcentral.